AGAGUUGGAGGAAAGCAAACC
RNAcentral lists this microRNA (21 nucleotides) under Zea mays. Its description in RNAcentral is "zma-miR2275a-5p". The record is from miRBase by way of RNAcentral. Lineage: Eukaryota; Viridiplantae; Streptophyta; Magnoliopsida; Poales; Poaceae.